RNAcentral lists this ribosomal RNA (433 nucleotides) under uncultured bacterium. RNAcentral's name for it is "partial 16S ribosomal RNA". It matches the Rfam family "Bacterial small subunit ribosomal RNA", at positions 29 to 507 of the family's 1533-position model. The record is from RNAcentral.
AACGAACGCUGGUGGCAUGCCUAACACAUGCAAGUCGAACGAGACCUUCGGGUCUAGUGGCGCACGGGUGCGUAACGCGUGGGAACCUGCCCUUAGGUUCGGAAUAACUCAGAGAAAUUUGAGCUAAUACCGGAUAAUGUCUUCGGACCAAAGAUUUAUCGCCUUUGGAUGGGCCCGCGUAGGAUUAGCUUGUUGGUGGGGUAAUGGCCUACCAAGGCGACGAUCCUUAGCUGGUCUGAGAGGAUGAUCAGCCACACUGGGACUGAGACACGGCCCAGACUCCUACGGGAGGCAGCAGUGGGGAAUAUUGGACAAUGGGCGAAAGCCUGAUCCAGCAAUGCCGCGUGAGUGAUGAAGGCCUUAGGGUUGUAAAGCUCUUUUACCAGGGAUGAUAAUGACAGUACCUGGAGAAUAAGCGCCGGCUAACUCCGUG